GGAGCGAGUUUGCCGCUUGUCAACAAAGUUACUUGGGCUUGCAUAGCGGCCGCGCGCUUUUGCGUUUUGAAUAAAAAUUACGAAAACAUUGUUUUUGUUCGCGAUUAAGUGUUGUAUGUAAUUGAAAUUUUGUAGCAGUGCAGUACAAUCAGGAUAUAACUAAUUUACAGUGCAGUGAAAUAAAGGAUUGCAGUG
Molecule: long non-coding RNA, 195 nt
Organism: Zerene cesonia (dogface butterfly)
Lineage: Eukaryota; Metazoa; Arthropoda; Insecta; Lepidoptera; Pieridae
Exons: 2
Source: RefSeq, a predicted model, not a curated record